CCUACGGGUGGCAGCAGUGGGGAAUAUUGCGCAAUGGGCGAAAGCCUGACGCAGCGACGCCGCGUGAGGGAUGAAGGUCUUCGGAUCGUAAACCUCUGUCAGCAGGGAAGAACGGUCACUGUGCUAAUCAGCAGUGAAUUGACGGUACCUGCAAAGGAAGCACCGGCUAACUCCGUGCCAGCAGCCGCGGUAAUACGGAGGGUGCGAGCGUUAAUCGGAAUUACUGGGCGUAAAGCGCUCGUAGGCGGUAUGUCAAGUCAAGGGUGAAAUCCCCGCGCUCAACGUGGGAACUGCCUUUGAUACUGGCAAACUGGAGUGUGUGAGAGGAUAGUGGAAUGCCAGGUGUAGGGGUGAAAUGCGUAGAUAUCUGGAGGAACAUCAGUGGCGAAGGCGACUAUCUGGCACAUAACUGACGCUGAGGAGCGAAAGCGUGGGUAGCAAACAGGAUUAGAUACCCCGGUAGUC
RNAcentral lists this ribosomal RNA (465 nucleotides) under uncultured bacterium. Its description in RNAcentral is "partial 16S ribosomal RNA". It matches the Rfam family "Bacterial small subunit ribosomal RNA", at positions 338 to 795 of the family's 1533-position model. The record is from RNAcentral.